GGGCCCGUAGCUCAAUGGUCAGAGCAGGCGACUCAUAAUCGCUCGGUCGUGGGUUCGAUUCCCACCGGGCCCACCA
This 76-nucleotide transfer RNA is filed under the name Acidimicrobiaceae bacterium. Its description in RNAcentral is "tRNA-Met". It matches the Rfam family "tRNA". Rfam says of the family: Transfer RNA (tRNA) molecules are approximately 80 nucleotides in length. The record is from RNAcentral. Lineage: Bacteria; Bacillati; Actinomycetota; Acidimicrobiia; Acidimicrobiales; Acidimicrobiaceae. RNAcentral also lists the same sequence under 3 other names.